AGCGAACGCUGGUGGCGUGCUUAAUACAUGCAAGUCGAGCGAUGAAAUCCUUCGGGAUGGAUUAGCGGCGGACGGGUGAGUAACACGUGGGUAACCUGCCUCAAAGAGGGGAAUAGCCUUCCGAAAGGAAGAUUAAUACCGCAUAAUAUGUUUUGGUCGCAUGAUCAGAACAUCAAAGGAGUAAUCCGCUUUUGAGAUGGACCCG
This 205-nucleotide ribosomal RNA is filed under the name uncultured bacterium. RNAcentral describes it as "partial 16S ribosomal RNA". It matches the Rfam family "Bacterial small subunit ribosomal RNA", at positions 29 to 233 of the family's 1533-position model. The record is from RNAcentral.